CCCUUAGACGUUCUGGGCCGCACGCGCGCUACACUGACCAGUGCAACAAGCAUCCGUCCUUGGCCGACAGGCCCGGGCAAUCUUUGAACGCUGGUCGUGAUGGGGAUAGACUUUUGCAAUUUUUGGUCUUCAACGAGGAAUUCCUAGUAAACGCAAGUCAUCAACUUGCAUUGAUUACGUCCCUGCCCUUUGUACACACCGCCCGUUGCACCUACCGAUUGAAUGGUCCGGUGAAGCCUCCGGAUUGGCGCGCACCUCGGUGCCGCCGAGAAGUUGGCUAAACCUUACCAUUUAGAGGAAGGUGAAGUCGUAACA
RNAcentral lists this ribosomal RNA (315 nucleotides) under uncultured eukaryote. RNAcentral describes it as "partial 18S ribosomal RNA". It matches the Rfam family "Eukaryotic small subunit ribosomal RNA", at positions 1470 to 1796 of the family's 1831-position model. The record is from RNAcentral.